RNAcentral lists this unclassified non-coding RNA (228 nucleotides) under uncultured fungus. RNAcentral's name for it is "sequence contains ITS1, 5.8S rRNA gene". The stretch from base 180 to 228 matches the Rfam family "5.8S ribosomal RNA", at positions 1 to 49 of the family's 154-position model. The record is from RNAcentral. Lineage: Eukaryota; Fungi.
UCUCCGUAGGUGAACCUGCGGAGGGAUCAUUACUGAGUGAGGGUUUAACCGCCCGACCUCCAACCCUUUGUGAACCGUACUCGUUGCUUCGGGGGCGAUCCUGCCGUUCGGCGCGGCGCCCCCGGAGGCUCAUCAAACCCUGCGUAACUAAGUCGUCGGAGUUUAAACAAAUUAAACAAAACUUUCAACAACGGAUCUCUUGGUUCGGGCAUCGAUGAAGAACGCAGC